GAGUUUGAUCCUGCUCAGAACGAACGCUGCGGCGCGUUUUAAGCAUGCAAGUCGAGCGGUAAGCUAACUUCGGUUAGCCUAGAGGCGGCGGACGGGUGAGUAACACGUGGAUAAUCUACCUCCUUGUUUGGGAUAGCUUGUGGAAACAUAAGGUAAUACCGAAUGAGAUUCAUUAGUCAAAAGGCUUUUGAAGGAAAGGCGCUGAGGCGUCGCAAGGAGAUGAGUCCGCGGCCCAUUAGCUAGACGGCAGGGUAAAAGCCUACCGUGGCAAUGAUGGGUAGCCGGCCUGAGAGGGUGAUCGGCCACAUUGGAACUGAGAUACGGUCCAGACUCCUACGGGGGGCAGCAGCUAAGAAUCUUCCGCAAUGGACGAAAGUCUGACGGAGCGACGCCGCGUGAACGAUGAAGGCCGUGAGGUUGUAAAGUUCUUUUCGAGAGGAGGAAUAAGGUUUGCAGGGAAUGGCAGACUGAUGACGUUAAUCUCGGAAUAAGCCCCGGCUAACUCCGUGCCAGCAGCCGCGGUAACACGUAGGGGGCAAGCGUUGUUCGGAAUUAUUGGGCGUAAAGGGCGUGCAGGCGGCCUUGCAAGUCUGACGUGAAAGAUCUCGGCUUAACCGAGGGAACGCGUUGGAAACUGUAAGGCUUGAGUACAGAAGGGGAUAUUGGAAUUCCAGGUGUAGGGGUGAAAUCUGUAGAUAUCUGGAAGAACACCGGUGGCGAAGGCGAAUAUCUGGUCAUGUACUGACGCUGAGACGCGAAGGUGCGGGGAGCAAACAGGUUUAGAUACCCUGGUAGUCCGCACAGUAAACGAUGUACACUAGGUGUCAGGUCUUAAGACUUGGUACCGAAGCUAACGCAUUAAGUGUACCGCCUGGGGAGUAUGCUCGCAAGAGUGAAACUC
RNAcentral lists this ribosomal RNA (901 nucleotides) under uncultured bacterium. Its description in RNAcentral is "bacterial SSU rRNA". It matches the Rfam family "Bacterial small subunit ribosomal RNA", at positions 9 to 902 of the family's 1533-position model. The record is from RNAcentral.